CGAAAGUUAAGAAUGAGUCAUAAAAUAGCAGAUGUUAAAUUUGUCAUUUGUUUUGUCAUUAGGAAGAAAUGACAAAUAAUAUACAUAAAUAAAUGAAGCUCGACUGUCGCUUAUAGAGGUUAUCUUAUCUUUAUAAGUAGCAGUCUCACUUACGGAGGUCCAUGAGGGAAAAACGACUCCCUCUUACAGAGGUUUCUGUUUCUCGCUAA
Long non-coding RNA from Pieris rapae (cabbage white), 209 nucleotides. RefSeq lists it as uncharacterized. The transcript is spliced from 3 exons. The record is from RefSeq and is a predicted model, not a curated record. Lineage: Eukaryota; Metazoa; Arthropoda; Insecta; Lepidoptera; Pieridae.